RNA transcript from Chinchilla lanigera (long-tailed chinchilla), 1969 nucleotides. It is a transcript of the gene named leucine rich repeat containing 43, with no coding region annotated. NCBI's taxonomy places the organism in Eukaryota, Metazoa, Chordata, Mammalia, Rodentia, Chinchillidae. The record is from RefSeq and is a predicted model, not a curated record.
AAUAGAUCCCGCUUCCUUCCUCCGAAGCCGCGGGCCUGGAAGGAGCUGGGGCCUGGGGAGGAGAAGGCCCCGGGCGCCGAGGAGGAGCCGGUGGAGGCCCUGCUGGGCCUGGUGCGCGGCCCGCAGUCGCCCUGGGCCCUGCCCGAGGACUCCAGCGCGGAGGACCGGUUUCUCCGAGAGCUGGCCAUCCGGAGCCCCACGAUGAUCAGAGACACCUUCUUCUACGCCUACUUCCGGUCCCUGCGGGUGGUGGACAAGCAGGUGAGCCAAGUGGACAAAGACCUCCUCAAGUUCCUGAGGCUGGAGGAGCUGGUCCUGAGCGCGAACCGCAUCAAGGAAGUGGAAGCUGCCAACCUGCCCCCCACGCUCAAGGUGCUGGAGCUGUACGGUAACGAGCUGACCAGCAUGGAGUGUCUGUGCGCGCACCCGCCGCCGGGCCUGCGCCACCUGGGUCUGGGCCAAAACCAGCUGCGGGGCCCCUCUGAGAGCCUCUACGUCACCGCCAGCCACUGGCCCAACCUCGUCUCCCUGGACCUGGGCUUCAACGACCUGACCGGCCUGCAGGCCAUGGUGACCGCGCUGCGCUCGCUCGGCCGCCUGCGGCUGCUGGUGCUACAGGGGAACCCGCUGGCGCUGCUGCCGCACUACCGCGGCUUCACCGUGGACAGCCUGGCCCGGCUGUGCGUGCUGGACGACGUCACCGUGUCGCCGCACGAGAGGCACCAGUUCCGCGGGCUGGCCCAGCAGGGCGAGCUCUUGGCGCAGGAGGCGCAGCUGAUGGUGACCAUCGGGAACAUCCGGGGGGUCGUGGACUCCUCUGUCUUGGACCCGGAGCCCGGGCCCGAGGGCCCCUUUGUCACUUACAGCUACUACGUGACCUACGACUUCUUGGAAGAGGAGGAGGCUGAGGCCAAGGAGUACAGCGAGGUCCUGGCCGAGAUCGUGAAGCCCCUGUCCAACACGGAGCUGCUGGAGGAGGAGGUCCCCGAGGAGGUCCCUGAGGAGGUCCCCGAGGAGGGCACCGAGGAGGGCACCGAGGAGGACAUGGCCGAGGGGUCCCUGGAGUCAGUGGACACCACGGAGCAGGCGGAGUCCGAGUCCUCAGUCAUUUCGGGCCGCUCGGGCCGCUCGGGCCGCUCGGGCCACUCGCCCCCGAAGCCGCCGUCCACUGACUCGGGGGAGGAGCUGGCCAAGCUGCGGCCGCGCAUGGAUCCGCGGCUGUGCCCCGCCCUGGGGACGGCCCUCUUCAGCACGGAGCACAAGCCCUGGGCCGACAUCAUCGCCUGCAGCUACGAGGCGCGGCACGGUGUCAAGGACCUGGGGCCCCUCAAGGCCUUCCUGCUGGCGGGGACCACGGUGACCGUCGUGGAGGAGAAGACCCUCUCCUGGCCGGUGGUGACCCCGCCUACUGACAGUCCCCUGGCAGCCAAGAAAGGAAAAGGGGCAAAUGACAAGAAGAAGGACAAGGACAAGAAGGACAAGGACAGAAAGGACCAGAAAGGGAAAGCAGAGGAGCCCUCCAAGGAACGGAAGGCAUCGCAGAGGAAGAGAGAUGCCCCCAAGGAGCUGCGCCAGGACCCGCCCGUGCUGCAGGUGCUGGGCAGCGGCCUGGUGGCCCUGGAGCCCCUGCUGGCCGGGGAGCCCGUGGUGUCCACUGUGUGCAACUUUGGGGUGGUCCGCACCCAGGAAUCGGACAGGCUGACGUUUGCCAGGGACUCAAAGAAGAUUAAGAAAGGAGCCAAGAAGGUACAAGUGGUCUUGGGGACAGAGGUCGCCGCCCUGUGGAGUCACGCAGACAGCGGCGCUGCAUAACGCCCGCUCGAGUGCGCGCGAGCCUGCUCCGCGAGGCCGUCCAAUCCGAGCGUCCACUCGCGCGGAAAGGACGAAAUCAGUAGCGCCGGUCUUCGAAAGCGACUACCAGCCUGAGCCGCUGACCGUGGAGGUCGAGAUCCAGCUGGGCCAGAUCCGC